CCUGUUUCUGUGAAUACUUCAAAGUCACGUCCUAGUCUUGUAGUUACUGCUCCAGAGUUUUCAAAUUUUGAUGAUGAGGAAGAAGAUGAUGCAGUGGAACCAGUGAUGGAAUCUCCAAAGGAGAAGCAAAGGCAUGUGAUGUCAAUUGAUGAUGCUCUAGUAUCUGCACUUGCUGGAUUCGUAUCUUCGACUUCAAUCCAGUCCCCAAGAUAUUCAAAAACUCUUGCAUUUAAAGCUCCUGAGUUUCCAAAUGGAGAAGGAAAUAAUGACGACAAUACAGUUUCCCCAAAAGGUCAUUGCGAAAUAAGCACAGAACAUCCCACUGGUUUCAGUGAACCCGAAGGGACAGAGUUACCGAAGAGACUUUCAUUUUCAUCUCUAUCCAAUAUUUCUUCUUUAGAAAGUGAAGAGAAUGCAAUGAAGUAUCCUAAUGAUAACUACCGUCUGAAAACGGACAUAGGAGUUGGUGAACAGCUGCAGGACAGUGAGGGGGAUGAAGGUGAUACCCAGGGUACUUGUUUUGACC
This 526-nucleotide unclassified non-coding RNA is filed under the name Hevea brasiliensis (rubber tree). The record is from RNAcentral. Lineage: Eukaryota; Viridiplantae; Streptophyta; Magnoliopsida; Malpighiales; Euphorbiaceae.